Molecule: ribosomal RNA, 491 nt
Filed under: uncultured bacterium
Lineage: Bacteria
Description: bacterial SSU rRNA
Rfam family: Bacterial small subunit ribosomal RNA
Source: RNAcentral
GAUGAACGUUGGCGGUGUGCCUAAUACAUGCAAGUCGAACGGAGACUGUAGCAAUACUGUCUUAGUGGCGAACGGGUGAGUAACGCGUUGGUGAUCUGCCUCGAAGUGUGGAAUAACCUCCCGAAAGGGAAGCUAAUACCGCAUAGUCUCUCAAGGUUUAGAAAAUUGAGAGUAAAGGAUUUAUUCGCUUCGAGAGGAGCCUGCGUCCCAUCAGCUAGUUGGUAGGGUAACGGCCUACCAAGGCAAUGACGGGUAGGGGACCUGAGAGGGUGGCCCCCCACAAUGGAACUGAGACACGGCCCGACGACUCCUACGGGAGGCAGCAGUGGGGAAGUAUUGCGCAAUGGGGGGAACCCGUGACGCAGCAACGCCGCGUGAAGGAUGAAGGUUUUCGGAUUGUAAACUUCUUUGGCAGGGGACGAAGUAAGACGGUACCCUGAGAACAAGCCACGGCUAACUACGUGCCAGCAGCCGCGGUAAGAGUGUGUGUA